ACGAACGCUGGCGGCGUGCUUAACACAUUCAAGUCGAACGAUGAAGCACCAGCUUGCUGGUGUGUUUUAGUGGCGAACGGUUGAUUAUCACGUGAGUAACCUGCCCCUCACUCUGGUAUAAUCCUGGGAAACUGGGUCUAAUACUGUAUACGACCGAUCUCCGCCUGGAGUGUUUUUGGAACUUUUUUGUUGUGGGGGAUUGACUCGCGGCGUAUCAGCUUGUUGGUGGGGUAGUGGCCUACCAAGGCGACGACGGGUAGCCGGCAUGAGAGGGCGAACGGCGAAAAGGGGACUGAGAGACGGACCAGAGGGCAAAGGGAGGCAGCAGUGGGGAAUAUUGCACAAUGGGCGAAAGCCUGAUGAAGAGACGCAGCGUGAGGGAUGAAGGCCUUCGGGUUGUAAAACUCAUUAACCAGGGACGAAGCUAACGUGACGGUACCUGGAGAAGAAGCACCGGCUAACUACGUG
Molecule: ribosomal RNA, 468 nt
Filed under: uncultured bacterium
Lineage: Bacteria
Description: partial 16S ribosomal RNA
Rfam family: Bacterial small subunit ribosomal RNA
Source: RNAcentral